Molecule: ribosomal RNA, 484 nt
Filed under: Tritomurus scutellatus
Lineage: Eukaryota; Metazoa; Arthropoda; Collembola; Entomobryomorpha; Tomoceridae
Description: partial large subunit ribosomal RNA
Rfam family: Bacterial large subunit ribosomal RNA (bases 348-484)
Source: RNAcentral
ACAUUUCUUUUAGAAUAAUUAAAAAGUAAAGUCUGCCCACUGUUUUUUAUAAAGGGCCGCGGUAUUUUGACCGUGCAAAGGUACCAUAAUCAUAAGUCUUUUAAUUGUGGAAUGGAAUGAAUGGCUAAAUGAAUUUUAUCUUUAAUAAUAUUAUUUAAAGAAUUUUGAUUUAAAGUGAAAAUACUUAAUUGAUUUAAAAAGACGAUAAGACCCUAUAGAAUUUUAAUCUUCUUUUUAUAAAAAUAUAAAAUUUAGAUUUUGUUGGGGCAGUAUAAGAAGAUAUAAAUUUUCUUUAUUUAAUAUUUUAAUGGAUCUAAAGUUAAAAGUUUUUAAGGAAUUACCUUCGGGAUUACAGCGUUAUAUUUUUUGAGAGUUCAUAUCGACAAAAUAUGUUGCGACCUCGAUGUUGAAUUAUAAUACCUAUUUGGAGCAGGCUUUAAAUAAGGGAGUCUGUUCGACUUUUAAUUUUUUACAUGAUUUGAGU